AUACGUAGGUGGCAAGCGUUGUCCGGAAUUAUUGGGCGUAAGGCGCGCGCAGGUGGUUCCUUAAGUCUGAUGUGAAAGCCCCCGGCUCAACCGGGGAGGGUCAUUGGAAACUGGGGAACUUGAGUGCAGAAGAGGAUAGUGGAAUUCCAAGUGUAGCGGUGAAAUGCGUAGAGAUUUGGAGGAACACCAGUGGCGAAGGCGACUGUCUGGUCUGUAACUGACACUGAGGCGCGAAAGCGUGGGGAGCAAACAGGAUUAGAUACCCUGGUAGUCCACGCCGUAAACGAUGAGUGCUAAGUGUUGGGGGGUUUCCGCCCCUCAGUGCUGCAGCUAACGCAUUAAGCACUCCGCCUGGGGAGUACGGUCGCAAGACUGAAACUCAAAGGAAUUGACGGGG
RNAcentral lists this ribosomal RNA (397 nucleotides) under uncultured bacterium. RNAcentral's name for it is "partial 16S ribosomal RNA". It matches the Rfam family "Bacterial small subunit ribosomal RNA", at positions 523 to 918 of the family's 1533-position model. The record is from RNAcentral.